Long non-coding RNA from Motacilla alba alba, 365 nucleotides. RefSeq lists it as uncharacterized. The transcript is spliced from 3 exons. NCBI's taxonomy places the organism in Eukaryota, Metazoa, Chordata, Aves, Passeriformes, Motacillidae. The record is from RefSeq and is a predicted model, not a curated record.
CAAAUUAAUUAAAGAAUCUUCCAGAAUGAGGUGCAAUGUUGCUUUGGAAGUACAUUGCUUUAGCAAGCUGAAAUGGGCAGCUCAGCAUCCUUCUGGAAAAUCGUGGAGAGGGGCCCUCUUGUUUUAGUCCAGCCAUCAAAAGAAAAGGGAUUAAAGCCACCACACAGCAUCACUUCUGUUGCUGUUACAAACAUCCAUUUCAUGGGAGACAGAGCUAAAGAUUGGACUCCAAGCUUAAAGAGCCUUCAAUUUGCCGAAGUAAGAACAUUCCACAUCAACUGAACAUCAGCUGCUGGGCUCUUGUGCUGUCCUCACCCCACUGGAGGUGGAGCACAUGCAGGGGAAAAUGUGAUGGACAAGUGCUG